Molecule: long non-coding RNA, 684 nt
Organism: Cydia pomonella (codling moth)
Lineage: Eukaryota; Metazoa; Arthropoda; Insecta; Lepidoptera; Tortricidae
Exons: 2
Source: RefSeq, a predicted model, not a curated record
AUACCAAUGAGUUCAGUUGUCUUUUUACAAAGUAGGAGUUUUCGCAUAAGUUUCAUCGUAAUAAAAGCACUAUAUACAGAAUAUUUAAAUACUGACGAUUAAAUGCAUCGGUGCCUAUGGCAAGCAAUACUUAAAGCGUUUUCUUCCCUCACCUACCCGGUUUUGUUAUCCAGUAAAUAAACAACGAUCGAGAGAAAUGGGUGCCAUUACGCAAAAGGAUGUUUAGUUCAUUCUUGAGAUUUCUUUUACUGGUUCGCUUCGGCUGAAUACCGACAUUUGACGUUAAACAGCGCGAGCCAAACGACAUGGUUCACAAAGUGACUGCUUUUACUCUGCUGUGUGUUCUUACGAUUCUAAUUGUUGGGGUAUCAUGUACUCCAGCAAUUACGAAACAAAAACUAGAAGCAAUGCUUUUAAAAAUACUGUGGGAAAGAGUAUACAAGCACUUGCCACCUUCUAUGAGAGAAAAAGCAAUCAAAGCUCUUAAGAACAAUGGUGACUAUGACAAGUUUAUUAGACAAUUACAAAAAGUGAAAAAAGAAAAAGUUCAGCGUCUGAUGAAUCUGUUUGCUGAUAUACUUAUAGAGUACAUAAGUUAAACGUACUUACCUGAUGAUUAAAACUGGAAUAUUAAUUUAAUUUAUAAUAUUUAUAAAACGCUAUUAAAAAUAUUGUACUUUGGAA